This 428-nucleotide ribosomal RNA is filed under the name uncultured bacterium. RNAcentral describes it as "partial 16S ribosomal RNA". It matches the Rfam family "Bacterial small subunit ribosomal RNA", at positions 354 to 796 of the family's 1533-position model. The record is from RNAcentral.
GUGGGGAAUAUUGGGCAAUGGGCGAAAGCCUGACCCAGCAACGCCGCGUGAAGGAAGAAGGUUUUCGGAUUGUAAACUUCUGUCCUCAGGGAAGAAGGAAGUGACGGUACCUGAGGAGGAAGCCCCGGCUAACUACGUGCCAGCAGCCGCGGUAAUACGUAGGGGGCGAGCGUUGUCCGGAAUGACUGGGCGUAAAGGGCGCGUAGACGGCUGUCUAAGUCUGGAGUGAAAGUCCUGCUUUCAAGGUGGGAAUUGCUUUGGAGACUGGAUGGCUUGAGUGCGGAAGAGGUAAGUGGAAUUCCCAGUGUAGCGGUGAAAUGCGUAGAGAUUGGGAAGAACACCAGUGGCGAAGGCGACUUACUGGGCCGUAACUGACGUUGAUGCGCGAAAGCGUGGGGAGCGAACAGGAUUAGAUACCCUGGUAGUCC